AGAGUUUGAUCCUGGCUCAGGAUAAACGCUGGCGGCGUGCCUAACACAUGCAAGUCGAACGCCCUGCGCAAGCAGGGAGUGGCGGACGGGUGAGGAACACGUGAGUACCUACCCUUCAGUGAGGAAUACCGGCGAGAAAUCGCCGACAAUACCGCAUAUUCUUCUCACGAAGCAAAGCUCGCAAGAGCGCUGGAGGAUGG
Molecule: ribosomal RNA, 200 nt
Filed under: uncultured bacterium
Lineage: Bacteria
Description: partial 16S ribosomal RNA
Rfam family: Bacterial small subunit ribosomal RNA
Source: RNAcentral